RNAcentral lists this ribosomal RNA (501 nucleotides) under uncultured bacterium. RNAcentral's name for it is "partial 16S ribosomal RNA". It matches the Rfam family "Bacterial small subunit ribosomal RNA", at positions 30 to 523 of the family's 1533-position model. The record is from RNAcentral.
AUUGAACGCUGGCGGCAUGCCUUACACAUGCAAGUCGAACGGCAGCACGGGUGCUUGCACCUGGUGGCGAGUGGCGAACGGGUGAGUAAUAUAUCGGAACGUACCUUAUUGUGGGGGAUAACGCAGCGAAAGCUGUGCUAAUACCGCAUAAUCCCUAAGGGGGAAAGCGGGGGACCGUAAGGCCUCGCGCAAUUAGAGCGGCCGAUACCUGAUUAGCUAGUUGGUGAGGUAAAGGCUCACUAAGGCAACGAUCAGUAGCUGGUCUGAGAGGACGAUCAGCCACACUGGGACUGAGACACGGCCCAGACUCCUACGGGAGGCAGCAGUGGGGAAUUUUGGACAAUGGGGGCAACCCUGAUCCAGCAAUGCCGCGUGAGUGAAGAAGGCCUUCGGGUUGUAGAGCUCUUUUGUCAGGGAAGAAACAGCAGCUCUAACACAGUUUGCGAAUGACGGUACCUGAAGAAUAAGCACCGGCUAACUACGUGCCAGCCGCCGCCGUAA